This 402-nucleotide ribosomal RNA is filed under the name uncultured bacterium. RNAcentral describes it as "partial 16S ribosomal RNA". It matches the Rfam family "Bacterial small subunit ribosomal RNA", at positions 355 to 747 of the family's 1533-position model. The record is from RNAcentral.
UGGGGAAUCUUCCGCAAUGGACGAAAGUCUGACGGAGCAACGCCGCGUGUAUGACGAAGGCCUUCGGGUUGUAAAGUACUGUCUUUGGGGACGAACGGUAUCUAUGUAAAUAAUGCAGAUACAUGACGGUACCCAAGGAGGAAGCCCCGGCUAACUACGUGCCAGCAGCCGCGGUAAUACGUAGGGGGCGAGCGUUGUCCGGAAUCAUUGGGCGUAAAGGGCGCGUAGGCGGGUCAUUAAGUCUGGUGUGAAAGGCAGGGGCUCAACCCCUGGAAGGCACCGGAAACUGGUUAUCUUGAGGGACAGGAGAGGAAAGCGGAAUUCCACGUGUAGCGGUGAAAUGCGUAGAUAUGUGGAGGAACACCAGUGGCGAAGGCGGCUUUCUGGACUGUAACUGACGCC